This 2994-nucleotide ribosomal RNA is filed under the name Salmonella enterica subsp. enterica serovar Typhimurium str. LT2. RNAcentral's name for it is "bacterial LSU rRNA". It matches the Rfam family "Bacterial large subunit ribosomal RNA". Lineage: Bacteria; Pseudomonadati; Pseudomonadota; Gammaproteobacteria; Enterobacterales; Enterobacteriaceae. The record is from RNAcentral.
GGUUAAGCGACUAAGCGUACACGGUGGAUGCCCUGGCAGUCAGAGGCGAUGAAGGACGUGCUAAUCUGCGAUAAGCGCCGGUAAGGUGAUAUGAACCGUUAUAACCGGCGAUUUCCGAAUGGGGAAACCCAGUGUGAUUCGUCACACUAUCAUUAACUGAAUCCAUAGGUUAAUGAGGCGAACCGGGGGAACUGAAACAUCUAAGUACCCCGAGGAAAAGAAAUCAACCGAGAUUCCCCCAGUAGCGGCGAGCGAACGGGGAGGAGCCCAGAGCCUGAAUCAGCAUGUGUGUUAGUGGAAGCGUCUGGAAAGGCGCGCGAUACAGGGUGACAGCCCCGUACACAAAAGCGCAUGUGCUGUGAGCUCGAUGAGUAGGGCGGGACACGUGGUAUCCUGUCUGAAUAUGGGGGGACCAUCCUCCAAGGCUAAAUACUCCUGACUGACCGAUAGUGAACCAGUACCGUGAGGGAAAGGCGAAAAGAACCCCGGCGAGGGGAGUGAAAAAGAACCUGAAACCGUGUACGUACAAGCAGUGGGAGCACAGGUUUACCUGUGUGACUGCGUACCUUUUGUAUAAUGGGUCAGCGACUUAUAUUCUGUAGCAAGGUUAACCGUAUAGGGGAGCCGUAGGGAAACCGAGUCUUAACCGGGCGUUAAGUUGCAGGGUAUAGACCCGAAACCCGGUGAUCUAGCCAUGGGCAGGUUGAAGGUUGGGUAACACUAACUGGAGGACCGAACCGACUAAUGUUGAAAAAUUAGCGGAUGACCUGUGGCUGGGGGUGAAAGGCCAAUCAAACCGGGAGAUAGCUGGUUCUCCCCGAAAGCUAUUUAGGUAGCGCCUCGUGAAUUCAUCUCCGGGGGUAGAGCACUGUUUCGGCUAGGGGGCCAUCCCGGCUUACCAACCCGAUGCAAACUGCGAAUACCGGAGAAUGUUAUCACGGGAGACACACGGCGGGUGCUAACGUCCGUCGUGAAGAGGGAAACAACCCAGACCGCCAGCUAAGGUCCCAAAGUCAUGGUUAAGUGGGAAACGAUGUGGGAAGGCCCAGACAGCCAGGAUGUUGGCUUAGAAGCAGCCAUCAUUUAAAGAAAGCGUAAUAGCUCACUGGUCGAGUCGGCCUGCGCGGAAGAUGUAACGGGGCUAAACCAUGCACCGAAGCUGCGGCAGCGAACGUAUCACCCAAGACAACUUUACGGAGUUGACGAUUGACGGAGCGAAGCGACGUCAAAGCGUUCAUUAAAGUCGAGUUGGCUUAGGGAUACGUUCGUUGGGUAGGGGAGCGUUCUGUAAGCCUGUGAAGGUGUGUCGUGAGGCAUGCUGGAGGUAUCAGAAGUGCGAAUGCUGACAUAAGUAACGAUAAAGCGGGUGAAAAGCCCGCUCGCCGGAAGACCAAGGGUUCCUGUCCAACGUUAAUCGGGGCAGGGUGAGUCGACCCCUAAGGCGAGGCCGAAAGGCGUAGUCGAUGGGAAACGGGUUAAUAUUCCCGUACUUGGUGUUACUGCGAAGGGGGGACGGAGAAGGCUAUGUUGGCCGGGCGACGGUUGUCCCGGUUUAAGCGUGUAGGUGUGUGUUCCAGGUAAAUCCGGUUCACUUUAACACUGAGGCGUGACGACGAGGCACUACGGUGCUGAAGCAACAAAUGCCCUGCUUCCAGGAAAAGCCUCUAAGCAUCAGGUAACACGAAAUCGUACCCCAAACCGACACAGGUGGUCAGGUAGAGAAUACCAAGGCGCUUGAGAGAACUCGGGUGAAGGAACUAGGCAAAAUGGUGCCGUAACUUCGGGAGAAGGCACGCUGACACGUAGGUGAAGUGAUUUACUCAUGGAGCUGAAGUCAGUCGAAGAUACCAGCUGGCUGCAACUGUUUAUUAAAAACACAGCACUGUGCAAACACGAAAGUGGACGUAUACGGUGUGACGCCUGCCCGGUGCCGGAAGGUUAAUUGAUGGGGUCAGCGCAAGCGAAGCUCCUGAUCGAAGCCCCGGUAAACGGCGGCCGUAACUAUAACGGUCCUAAGGUAGCGAAAUUCCUUGUCGGGUAAGUUCCGACCUGCACGAAUGGCGUAAUGAUGGCCAGGCUGUCUCCACCCGAGACUCAGUGAAAUUGAACUCGCUGUGAAGAUGCAGUGUACCCGCGGCAAGACGGAAAGACCCCGUGAACCUUUACUAUAGCUUGACACUGAACAUUGAGCCUUGAUGUGUAGGAUAGGUGGGAGGCUUUGAAGUGUGGACGCCAGUCUGCAUGGAGCCGACCUUGAAAUACCACCCUUUAAUGUUUGAUGUUCUAACGUGGACCCGUAAUCCGGGUUGCGGACAGUGUCUGGUGGGUAGUUUGACUGGGGCGGUCUCCUCCUAAAGAGUAACGGAGGAGCACGAAGGUUGGCUAAUCCUGGUCGGACAUCAGGAGGUUAGUGCAAUGGCAUAAGCCAGCUUGACUGCGAGCGUGACGGCGCGAGCAGGUGCGAAAGCAGGUCAUAGUGAUCCGGUGGUUCUGAAUGGAAGGGCCAUCGCUCAACGGAUAAAAGGUACUCCGGGGAUAACAGGCUGAUACCGCCCAAGAGUUCAUAUCGACGGCGGUGUUUGGCACCUCGAUGUCGGCUCAUCACAUCCUGGGGCUGAAGUAGGUCCCAAGGGUAUGGCUGUUCGCCAUUUAAAGUGGUACGCGAGCUGGGUUUAGAACGUCGUGAGACAGUUCGGUCCCUAUCUGCCGUGGGCGCUGGAGAACUGAGGGGGGCUGCUCCUAGUACGAGAGGACCGGAGUGGACGCAUCACUGGUGUUCGGGUUGUCAUGCCAAUGGCACUGCCCGGUAGCUAAAUGCGGAAGAGAUAAGUGCUGAAAGCAUCUAAGCACGAAACUUGCCCCGAGAUGAGUUCUCCCUGAGACUUAGAGUCUCCUGAAGGAACGUUGAAGACGACGACGUUGAUAGGCCGGGUGUGUAAGCGCAGCGAUGCGUUGAGCUAACCGGUACUAAUGAACCGUGAGGCUUAACCUUAC